Molecule: long non-coding RNA, 600 nt
Organism: Salvia miltiorrhiza (redroot sage)
Lineage: Eukaryota; Viridiplantae; Streptophyta; Magnoliopsida; Lamiales; Lamiaceae
Exons: 2
Source: RefSeq, a predicted model, not a curated record
AUGCAUGGAAUGCAUGGAACUAAUUUAAUAAUUUUUAAAAGUGCUAAAUAUAUACUUAGGUGUGUGCAUGUGAAUGCAUGGAAUAUAUAAAUAAAAUAAAUACAUGGCUAUAGUUAGUAUUUAGCAAAUAGCUACGUGUAUAAAUUCUAAAUCAUAACUAAAUUGCUUCUACAUACACCUAGCCUCAUGAUUCAGCAAACCUACAUAUAUACGUGCAAGUAAACUAUUUAUGGUAAGCAAAGCUAUCAACCUAUAUUAUAAACCUAGGAAACCUAUAAUUGGAGGCCUAUAAAUAGCCGAUCAGUGGAUUAAGAGAAAGCAUAGCCAAGAUAUGUACUAUAGUAGAGUAGUAAGGAAUUGAUCGAGUAGAAGGACUCUGAGAAGUUAACAAAAAGCAUCGUAAAAUUAAGGUUAGUAAGAUGGUGGAGAUGGAAGCAGUUGUGGCGGGUUGGCUGCAAUAUGUUGAAAUAGCUAGCUAUUAUAUUUAAAAAAAUAUGUCAUAUAUUUUGAGUAUGUAAAAUGUUAGUUAAAAAUUAUAUAUAUGAUAUUAUUAUUAUGCAAUAAUUUAUUUAUCGCUCGAUGGAGAGUGCAUGUAGUCGG